AGAACGAACGUUGGCGGCGUGGAUUAGGCAUGCAAGUCGAACGAAUCCCAUCCGGGUAACUGGGUGGGGGAAGUGGCGAAAGGGGCAGUAAGGCAUGGGCAACCUACCCCGGGGACGGGCAUAGCCGUCCUAACGGACGGGUAAUACCUGGCGAUUCGGCGAGGGGGCAUCCCCUUGCCGGGAAACGAGUUUCGCCUCGGGAGGGGCUCAUGUAGUAUUAGCUUGUUGGUAAGGUAACGGCUUACCAAGGCGAAGAUGCUUAGCGGGUGUGAGAGCACGACCCGCGCCACUGGCACUGAGACACUGGCCAGACUCCUACGGGAGGCUGCAGUCGAGGAUCUUCGGCAAUGGGCGCAAAGCCCUGACCGAGCGACGCCGCGUGUGCGAAGAAGGCCUUCGGGUUGUAAAGCACUGUCGAGGGGGAGAAAGCCGCAAGGUUGAUCGACCCUGGAGAAGCACGGGCUAAGUUCGUGCCAGCAGCCGC
This 484-nucleotide ribosomal RNA is filed under the name uncultured bacterium. RNAcentral's name for it is "SSU rRNA". It matches the Rfam family "Bacterial small subunit ribosomal RNA", at positions 26 to 518 of the family's 1533-position model. The record is from RNAcentral.